This 715-nucleotide ribosomal RNA is filed under the name uncultured bacterium. RNAcentral's name for it is "bacterial SSU rRNA". It matches the Rfam family "Bacterial small subunit ribosomal RNA", at positions 8 to 769 of the family's 1533-position model. The record is from RNAcentral.
AGAGUUUGAUCAUGGCUCAGAACGUACGCUGGCGGCACGCCUAACACAUGCAAGUCGAACGAAGUAGCAAUACUUAGUGGCGAACGGGUGAGUAUAAUGUGGGUAUCUGCCUUUUGGUUUGGAAUAACACGGGGAAACUUGUGCUAAUACCGGAUAAGCCUUUACAGGGAAAGUUUUAACGCCAAAAGAUGAGCCCGCACUUGAUUAGCUAGUUGGUAAGGUAAUGGCUUACCAAGGCUACGAUCAAUAGCUGAUCUGAGAGGAUGAUCAGCCACAUUGGGACUGAGACACGGCCCAAACUCCUACGGGAGGCAGCAGUGGGGAAUCUUGCACAAUGGGGGAAACCCUGAUGCAGCGAUGCCGCGUGAGUGAAGAAGGCCUUUGGGUUGUAAAGCUCUUUCGUCGGGGAAGAAAAUGACUGUACCCGAAUAAGAAGGUCCGGCUAACUUCGUGCCAGCAGCCGCGGUAAUACGAAGGGACCUAGCGUAGUUCGGAAUUACUGGGCUUAAAGAGCUCGUAGGUGGUUAAAAAAGUUGGUGGUGAAAUCCCAAGGCUUAACCUUGGAACUGCCAUCAAAACUUUUUAACUAGAGUGUGAUAGAGGAAAGUGGAAUUUCUAGUGUAGAGGUGAAAUUCGUAGAUAUUAGAAAGAACACCAAUUGCGAAGGCAACUUUCUGGAUCACUACUGACACUGAGGAGCGAAAGCAUGGGUAGC